AUUGAACGCUGGCGGCAGGCCUAACACCUGCAAGUCGAACGAGUGGCGGACGGGUGAGUAAUGUCUGGGAAACUGCCUGAUGGAGGGGGAUAACCACUGGAAACGGUCGCUAAUACCGCAUACCAUCGGAUGUGCCCAGAUGGGAUUAGCUAGUAGGGGGGGUAACGGCUCACCUAGGCGACGAUCCCUAGCUGGUCGGAGAGGAUGACCGGCCACACUGGAACUGAGACGCGGUCCAGACUCCUACGGGAGGGAGCAGUGGGGAAUAGUGCACAAGGGGCGCAAGCCUGAUGCAGCCAUGCCGCGUGUAUGAAGAAGGCCUUCGGGUUGUAAAGUACUUUCAGCGGGGAGGCGUUACCCGCAGAAGAAGCACCGGCUAACUCCGUGCCAGCCGCCGCGGUAAUAC
Molecule: ribosomal RNA, 406 nt
Filed under: uncultured bacterium
Lineage: Bacteria
Description: partial 16S ribosomal RNA
Rfam family: Bacterial small subunit ribosomal RNA
Source: RNAcentral